This is a long non-coding RNA of Fukomys damarensis (Damara mole-rat), 1636 nucleotides long. RefSeq lists it as uncharacterized. The transcript is spliced from 3 exons. Lineage: Eukaryota; Metazoa; Chordata; Mammalia; Rodentia; Bathyergidae. The record is from RefSeq and is a predicted model, not a curated record.
GACAGCAGGGCUUAGCUGAGCUUCUGGUGCGCCGUUCCACGCCAGUAAAUGAAAGAUUUAAGCAUUCUGGGUUCGUGUUUUAGGAGGACCCCUCCGACAGCUGUGUGGAGACUAUUUCGGAAAAUGCAAAUCUGCAAGAGGAAGACCCAUCAGGAGGCUGCGUUUGUAAUUUGAGUGAAAGGUGCUGAUGGCUUCAGAGGUACUGGCAAACAAGAUAGAAGUGCACAUCUUCAGAGGCUUAGCUCUGUUGACUACUGGGUAAGCACACGCAGUCUGCACAGAGUCACUCCAGAGAUUGGAAGACAAGCAAGAACCUGAGUUCAGUCUCCAGCACCAAAACCAAAAAAGAUUGGAAGACAAAAUUGGAAGAUACCUUAAGGAAGAAAAGCAGAAAUGCAGAGAAAGGACAGCAAGGACCAAGGACAAGAACCACGGAAACCUAAAAGUCAAGAAGCAGAAUGACCAAUGACCCUUGGAAGGACAUUAGAGUCACUGUUCAGACUAAGUGGGCCAAGAAAUUUCCCGGGUGGGAAUCAUUUCUGGGCAGGACUGUGAGUGCACAGAUGUGACCUUUGUGCCAAAACAAGCCUACUCAGACCAGAAGUUUUUAUCUAGCCUCUAUUUCUGUUAGCGCGUAACACAAACGGGAUGGAAAGCACAUCUCUGGGCAGAUAUAAGCAAUAACCGGAAACAAAAAACAUGUAGUUUGUUAAUUAGGUUUUCCACUUUGGUAGUGUAGUUAUUUUUGUUUUCUCAGUUUCUGAGUAACAAAUACUUAUUUAUUUUUCUUUAUUUGUUUCUUUCUUUAUUUUGCAGUCCUGGAAAUCGCACCCAGGACCUUGUGCAUUCUCAGCAACUGCUCCAUGCCUGAGCUACCUCACCAGCCCUUUCUAAAAUUUUAUUUUGAGAUAGAGUCUAAUUACAUUGCAAGGCCAGCCUUGAACUUGUGAUCCUCCUGUCUACACCUGAGUAGCUGAGAUUACAGGUGUGUGUCAUCAUACCCAGCAUUAAAGAUUGUUUUGAGGAAUUUAAACACAAACAUAAGCCAUACUUACUGGUUUACUUAGUUUUGAAGGAUUCUACUCCUCUUACAAAUUCUGAGAGAUAGGUAAAUUUGCUAAGUUCAUUAUUUUGUGUCUCAGAAUUAAGAAAAAAAAAUCUAGUCUAGCAAAAAGAUAUAUCUAGAAGAUAUAAAGUGAAGUAAAAUAUAAAAAAGAAUGCUGGUGAAGGCAAUGUGCUGCUAAAAGGGAUACCUUUCAGAACUAGUGGCUUAGAACAGUUUUCUUAAAUAUAGUUAGAUAUUUUACAAUAUAAAUUUAAGCAUUUAGUUGAAUAAUCUUAAUUGGUUGGCUCAAAUAAUUGCUCAAAUGAAUUUGGAGGAUAAAUAUUUAAAUGUAGCCUUCACAUGCAUUUCACUGUGGGUGAUGAUAUUUUAGCUGAUUAGUUUGGGAACAAGUUUGUUGUGUACCUUUACCUGACGUAGUGUUUGGUUUUGACCUGUUUGGACAGAUAUCAAAUUACAUGUCUACUAUGCUUUAUCAGGACCUAGUUUGUAAAGGAUUAAACACAGAAGAAUUAAUUUUUAAAAUUAGUGUUAACGAUGCAGGAUAUGGUGGUGCAGGCCUAUAAUCCCAGC